AUUGAACGCUGGCGGCAGGCCUAACACAUGCAAGUCGAACGGUAACAGGAAGCAGCUUGCUGCUUUGCUGACGAGUGGCGGGCGGGUGAGUAAUGUCUGGGAAACUGCCCGAUGGAGGGGGAUAACUACUGGAAACGGUAGCUACUACCGCAUAACGUCGCAAGCCCAAAGAGGGGGACCUUAGGGCCUCUUGCCAUCGGCUGUGCCCAGAUGGGAUUCGCUAGUAGGUGGGGUAAGGGCUCACCUAGGCGACGAUCCCUAGCUGGUCUGAGAGGAUGACCAGCCACACUGGAACGUAGACACGGUCCAGACUCCUACGGUAGGCAGCAGUGGGGAAUAUUGCACAAUGGGCGCAAGCCUGAUGCAGCCAUGCCGCGUGUAUGAAGAAGGCCUUCGGGUUGUAAAGUACUUUCAGCGGGGAGGAAGGGAGUAAAGUUAAUACCUUUGCUGAUUGACGUUACCCGCAGAAGAAGCACCGGCUAACUCCGUG
This 490-nucleotide ribosomal RNA is filed under the name uncultured bacterium. Its description in RNAcentral is "partial 16S ribosomal RNA". It matches the Rfam family "Bacterial small subunit ribosomal RNA", at positions 30 to 507 of the family's 1533-position model. The record is from RNAcentral.